GAGGGUAUAGCUCAAGUGGUAGAGCACAUGCUUAGCAUGCAUGAGGUCGUGGGUUCAAUCCCCAGUACCUCCU
Molecule: transfer RNA, 73 nt
Filed under: Camelus bactrianus (Bactrian camel)
Lineage: Eukaryota; Metazoa; Chordata; Mammalia; Artiodactyla; Camelidae
Also listed under: 2 other names
Rfam family: tRNA
About the family: Transfer RNA (tRNA) molecules are approximately 80 nucleotides in length. Their secondary structure includes four short double-helical elements and three loops (D, anti-codon, and T loops).
Source: Rfam by way of RNAcentral